This 301-nucleotide ribosomal RNA is filed under the name uncultured bacterium. Its description in RNAcentral is "partial 16S ribosomal RNA". It matches the Rfam family "Bacterial small subunit ribosomal RNA", at positions 509 to 809 of the family's 1533-position model. The record is from RNAcentral.
CAGCCGCCGCGGUAACACAGAGGGUGCGAGCGUUAAUCGGAUUUACUGGGCGUAAAGCGUGCGUAGGCGGCUUCUUAAGUCGGAUGUGAAAUCCCUGAGCUUAACUUAGGAAUUGCAUUCGAUACUGGGAAGCUAGAGUAUGGGAGAGGAUGGUAGAAUUCCAGGUGUAGCGGUGAAAUGCGUAGAGAUCUGGAGGAAUACCGAUGGCGAAGGCAGCCAUCUGGCCUAAUACUGACGCUGAGGUACGAAAGCAUGGGGAGCAAACAGGAUUAGAUACCCCUGUAGUCCCUGUCUCUUAUAA